This 115-nucleotide Y RNA is filed under the name Cercocebus atys (sooty mangabey). RNAcentral's name for it is "Y RNA (ENSCATG00000004496.1)". It matches the Rfam family "Y RNA". From Rfam's summary of the family: Y RNAs are components of the Ro ribonucleoprotein particle (Ro RNP), in association with Ro60 and La proteins. The Y RNAs and Ro60 and La proteins are well conserved, but the function of the Ro RNP is not known. In humans the RNA component can be one of four small RNAs -- hY1, hY3, hY4 and hY5. The record is from Rfam by way of RNAcentral. Lineage: Eukaryota; Metazoa; Chordata; Mammalia; Primates; Cercopithecidae.
AGUUGGCCCAAAGGCAGUGAGUUAUCUCGAUUGAUUGCUCACAGUCAGUUACAGAUUUAAGUCCUUGUUUUCUACUCGUUCCCCUCUUCUCACCGCUGCACUUGACUAAUCUUAA